This 81-nucleotide transfer RNA is filed under the name Methylococcaceae bacterium. RNAcentral describes it as "tRNA-Leu". It matches the Rfam family "tRNA". From Rfam's summary of the family: Transfer RNA (tRNA) molecules are approximately 80 nucleotides in length. The record is from RNAcentral. Lineage: Bacteria; Pseudomonadati; Pseudomonadota; Gammaproteobacteria; Methylococcales; Methylococcaceae.
GUGGUGGAAUUGGUAGACACGCUAUCUUGAGGGGGUAGUGUCCUUAUGGACGUGCGGGUUCAAGUCCCGCUCUCGGCACCA